GGAGAGAUGGCCGAGCGGCCGAAGGCGCUUGCCUGCUAAGCAAGUGUAGGGGUAACUCUACCGAGGGUUCGAAUCCCUCUCUCUCCGCCA
Molecule: transfer RNA, 90 nt
Filed under: Tepiditoga spiralis
Lineage: Bacteria; Thermotogati; Thermotogota; Thermotogae; Petrotogales; Petrotogaceae
Description: Oceanotoga sp. sy52 tRNA-Ser
Rfam family: tRNA
About the family: Transfer RNA (tRNA) molecules are approximately 80 nucleotides in length. Their secondary structure includes four short double-helical elements and three loops (D, anti-codon, and T loops).
Source: RNAcentral